CCUACGGGCGGCAGCAGUGGGGAAUAUUUCGCAAUGGGCGAAAGCCUGACGCAGCGACGCCGCGUGAGGGAUGAAGGUCUUCUGAUCGUAAACCUCUGUCAGCAGGGAAGCACGGUCACUGUGCUAAUCAGCAGUGAAUUGACGGUACCUGCAAAGGAAGCACCGGCUAACUCCGUGCCAGCAGCCGCGGGAAUACGGAGGGUGCGAGCGUUAAUCGGAAGUACUGGGCGUAAAGGGCUCGUAGGCGGUAUGUCAAGUCAAGGGUGAAAUCCCCGCGCUCAACGUGGGAACUGCCUUUGAAACUGGCAAACUUGAGUGGGUGAGAGGAUAGUGGAAUUCGAGGUGUAGGAGUGAAAUCCGUAGAUAUCUGGAGGAACAUCAGGGGCGAAGGCGACUAUCUGGCACAUAACUGACGCUGAGGAGCGAAAGCGUGGGUAGCAAACAGGAUUAGAGACCCGGGUAGUC
Molecule: ribosomal RNA, 465 nt
Filed under: uncultured bacterium
Lineage: Bacteria
Description: partial 16S ribosomal RNA
Rfam family: Bacterial small subunit ribosomal RNA
Source: RNAcentral